UGGGGGAUCGUUCAAUGGCAGGACAUCGGACUCUGACUCCGCGAAUAGGGGUUCAAAUCCCUUUCCCCCAGCCA
This 74-nucleotide transfer RNA is filed under the name Syntrophobacterales bacterium. RNAcentral describes it as "tRNA-Gln". It matches the Rfam family "tRNA". From Rfam's summary of the family: Transfer RNA (tRNA) molecules are approximately 80 nucleotides in length. Their secondary structure includes four short double-helical elements and three loops (D, anti-codon, and T loops). Lineage: Bacteria; Pseudomonadati; Thermodesulfobacteriota; Syntrophobacteria; Syntrophobacterales. The record is from RNAcentral.